This 814-nucleotide ribosomal RNA is filed under the name uncultured archaeon. Its description in RNAcentral is "bacterial SSU rRNA". It matches the Rfam family "Archaeal small subunit ribosomal RNA", at positions 79 to 874 of the family's 1478-position model. The record is from RNAcentral.
GCCCUUACGGCUCCAGUAACACGUAGUCAACCUGCCCUAGAAGACACAGACAACCCCGGGAAACUGGGAUUAAUCCGUGAUAGGUCAUCUCAUCUGGAAGGAGAGAUGGCUUAAAGGGGUGCGAGAGCUUCUUUCUUGUACUCGCUCUAGGAUGGGACUGCGGCCGAUCAGGCUGUUGGUGGGGUAAUGGCCCACCAAACCUGUAACCGGUACGGGCCUUGAGAGAGGGGGCCCGGAGAUGGACACUGAGAGAAGGGUCCAGGUCCUACGGGGCGCAGCAGGCGCGAAACCUUCACAAUGCGCGAAAGCGUGAUGAGGUUAAUCCGAGUGGUCCCCGCUGAGGGGAUCUUUUGUUGGCUCUAAAACGGCCAGUGAAUAAGGGGAGGGCAAGUCUGGUGUCAGCCGCCGCGGUAAUACCAGCUCCUCGAGUGGUCGGGGCGAUUAUUGGGCCUAAAGCAUCCGUAGCCUGUUCUGUAGGUCCGCUGUUAAAUCCAACGGCUUAACCGUUGGCCCGCAGCGGAUACCGCAGGACUAGGAGGCGGGAGAGGUGGACGGUACUCCACGUGUAGGGGUAAAAUCCUUUGAUCCGUGGAAGACCACCAGUGGCGAAGGCGGUCCACCAGAACGCGCUCGACGGUGAGGGAUGAAAGCUGGGGGAGCGAACCGGAUUAGAUACCCGGGUAGUCCCAGCCGUAAACGAUGCGAGCUAGAUGAUCCGGUCGCAAAUCGCGAUCGGAGUGUCGCAGGGAAGCCGUUAAGCUCGCCGCCUGGGGAGUACGGUCGCAAGACUGAAACUUAAAGGAAUUGGCGGGGG